CAGAGUUGCAAAACUCCCCAAACCAUCGUGAACCUUUACCGCUAACAGUUGCUUCGGCGGGUGGCCCGCGGGGGUGCGCAAGCCGCGCCCCCGGGGGCCGCCGAGCCCGCCGGAGGAAUCCAAAAAACCAUCGCUUUCAGUACCGGCCUCUCUGAGUUAACUGUACUUUAAUUAAGGUCAUAGAAAGCUUUCAACAACGGAUCUCUUGGUUCGGACAGCGAGGAUUCACUGAAGAUUCUGCAAUUCACAUUACUUAUCGCAUUCGCUGCGUUCUUCAUCGAUGCAGAACCAGAGAUCCGUGUUGAAAGUUUGACUAUUCGUACAGAAGACUCAGAGAGGCCUAUUAGCAAGAGUUGGUGACCUCCGGCGGGCCCCAGCGCGGCGCCCGCCGGAGGAAUCCAAAACCAUCUGAUAUUUAGUACGGCCUCUCUGAGUCUUACUGUACUGUAAUAAGUCA
This 457-nucleotide unclassified non-coding RNA is filed under the name soil metagenome. Its description in RNAcentral is "partial internal transcribed spacer 1". The record is from RNAcentral.